This 858-nucleotide ribosomal RNA is filed under the name uncultured bacterium. RNAcentral describes it as "bacterial SSU rRNA". It matches the Rfam family "Bacterial small subunit ribosomal RNA", at positions 8 to 881 of the family's 1533-position model. The record is from RNAcentral.
AGAGUUUGAUCCUGGCUCAGGAUGAACGCUGGCGGCGUGCCUAAUACAUGCAAGUCGAGCGAACCACUUCGGUGGUGAGCGGCGAACGGGUGAGUAACACGUAGGUGAUCUGCCCAUCAGACGGGGACAACGAUUGGAAACGAUCGCUAAUACCGGAUAGGACGAAAGUUUAAAGGUGCUUCUGGCACCGCUGAUGGAUGAGCCUGCGGCGCAUUAGCUAGUUGGUAGGGUAAAGGCCUACCAAGGCGACGAUGCGUAGCCGACCUGAGAGGGUGAACGGCCACACUGGGACUGAGACACGGCCCAGACUCCUACGGGAGGCAGCAGUAGGGAAUCUUCGGCAAUGGGCGAAAGCCUGACCGAGCAACGCCGCGUGAAUGAUGAAGGCCUUCGGGUUGUAAAAUUCUGUUAUAAGGGAAGAACGACUUUAGUAGGAAAUGGCUAGAGUGUGACGGUACCUUAUGAGAAAGCCACGGCUAACUACGUGCCAGCAGCCGCGGUAAUACGUAGGUGGCGAGCGUUAUCCGGAAUUAUUGGGCGUAAAGAGCGCGCAGGUGGUUGAUUAAGUCUGAUGUGAAAGCCCACGGCUUAACCGUGGAGGGUCAUUGGAAACUGGUCGACUUGAGUGCAGAAGAGGGAAGUGGAAUUCCAUGUGUAGCGGUGAAAUGCGUAGAGAUAUGGAGGAACACCAGUGGCGAAGGCGGCUUCCUGGUCUGUAACUGACACUGAGGCGCGAAAGCGUGGGGAGCAAACAGGAUUAGAUACCCUGGUAGUCCACGCCGUAAACGAUGAGUGCUAAGUGUUGGGGGUCGAACCUCAGUGCUGAAGUUAACGCAUUAAGCACUCCGCCUGGGGAGU